AUGCAAAAUGCUAGAUCUUGUUUGCUGCUUGAUUUUGUUUGCCUGAUUUUGUCUAUUCCUGCUUCUCAGGCUUUUACCACAGAGAGAGGAACGAGAACUGAAGCAGCUCCAGCACCUGGGACCUGUUUAAGAAAAAGAGGAGAAGUGGAUGCAGGAUUUCAGAAGCAGAGCUCUACCUCCAGCUUCAGUUAUACAAGAAAAAGCAACAAAAGACACCGCCGACCCAAGCCUGGGCUGGCAACGUCUGGGACGCUGACCCCACAAAGCACCUGCAGAGGAGGGUGGCUCGAAGGGGGAGCCCAGCUUGCAGGUGCCAGGAGGCUUCUCGCAUGGUUAGGUAGAGGAACUGCAGGCUCCCCUCCCAUGACAAAGGGAGCAGGAGAAAGUGGAGCAAGAGGCUUUCCCUCAGCUUGUUCGUGGAAAGGCUUUGCCUGA
Molecule: long non-coding RNA, 435 nt
Filed under: Anas platyrhynchos platyrhynchos (common mallard)
Lineage: Eukaryota; Metazoa; Chordata; Aves; Anseriformes; Anatidae
Description: lncRNA (ENSAPLG00000020149.1)
Source: RNAcentral